ACCGCCGUAUACGGAACCGUACGUACGGUGGUGUGAGAGGGGCGAAAAGUUAUUUAGCUUUUCCCUCUACUCGAU
This 75-nucleotide unclassified non-coding RNA is filed under the name Virgibacillus pantothenticus. Lineage: Bacteria; Bacillati; Bacillota; Bacilli; Caryophanales; Bacillaceae. The record is from RNAcentral.